UGAGGAAUAUUGGUCAAUGGUCGGGAGACUGAACCAGCCAAGCCGCGUGAGGGAUGAAGGUGCUAAGCAUUGUAAACCUCUUUUGUCAGGGAACAAAGGCAUCCACGAGUGGGUGUGUGAGUGUACCUGAAGAAAAAGCAUCGGCUAACUCCGUGCCAGCAGCCGCGGUAAUACGGAGGAUGCGAGCGUUAUCCGGAUUUAUUGGGUUUAAAGGGUGCGUAGGCGGCCUGUUAAGUCAGCGGUAAAAGCCCGGGGCUCAACCCGGCGAGCGUUGAAACAUGGCUGGCUGGAGUUGGCGAGAGGUAUGCGGAAUGCGCGGUGUAGCGGUGAAAUGCUUAGAUAUCGCGCAGAACUCCGAUUGCGAAGGCAGCAUGCCGGCGCCACACUGACGCUGAGGCACGAAAGCGUGGGGAUGCAAACAAGGAUAGAUACC
RNAcentral lists this ribosomal RNA (433 nucleotides) under uncultured bacterium. Its description in RNAcentral is "bacterial SSU rRNA". It matches the Rfam family "Bacterial small subunit ribosomal RNA", at positions 355 to 786 of the family's 1533-position model. The record is from RNAcentral.